UCAAUUCAAUUCACCUUCAUUUAUAUAGUAGCAAAUUACAACAAAAUUUCCUCAAGGCGCUUCACACAAGUAAGGUCUAACCUUACCAACCCCCAAAGCAAGCACACAGGUGACAGUAGGGUGGUAAAAUUCUUCCUCUGAGGCAGAAACCG
Long non-coding RNA from Thalassophryne amazonica, 152 nucleotides. RefSeq lists it as uncharacterized. The transcript is spliced from 4 exons. NCBI's taxonomy places the organism in Eukaryota, Metazoa, Chordata, Actinopteri, Batrachoidiformes, Batrachoididae. The record is from RefSeq and is a predicted model, not a curated record.